RNAcentral lists this ribosomal RNA (497 nucleotides) under uncultured bacterium. RNAcentral's name for it is "partial 16S ribosomal RNA". It matches the Rfam family "Bacterial small subunit ribosomal RNA", at positions 28 to 507 of the family's 1533-position model. The record is from RNAcentral.
GAUGAACGCUGGCGGCGUGCCUAAUACAUGCAAGUCGAGCGAACAGACGAGGAGCUUGCUCCUCUGACGUUAGCGGCGGACGGGUGAGUAACACGUGGAUAACCUACCUAUAAGACUGGGAUAACUUCGGGAAACCGGAGCUAAUACCGGAUAAUAUAUUGAACCGCAUGGUUCAAUAGUGAAAGACGGUUUUGCUGUCACUUAUAGAUGGAUCCGCGCCGCAUUAGCUAGUUGGUAAGGUAACGGCUUACCAAGGCGACGAUGCGUAGCCGACCUGAGUGGGGGGUUCGGCAACACGGAACCUGAGACACGGCCAGACUCCUACGGGAGGCAGCAGUAGGGAAUCUUCCGCAAUGGGCGAAAGCCUGACGGAGCAACGCCGCGUGAGUGAUGAAGGUCUUCGGAUCGUAAAACUCUGUUAUUAGGGAAGAACAAAUGUGUAAGUAACUAUGCACGUCUUGACGGUACCUAAUCAGAAAGCCACGGCUAACUACGUG